AGGACGAACGCUGGCGGCGUGCUUAACACAUGCAAGUCGAGCGGAAAGGCCCUUCGGGGUACUCGAGCGGCGAACGGGUGAGUAACACGUGAGUAAUCUGCCCCUAGCUCUGGGAUAGCUCCGGGAAACCGGGAUUAAUACCGGAUACGACCACCUUAGACAUCUUUUGUGGUGGAAAGAAUUUCGGCUAGGGAUGAGCUCGCGGCCUAUCAGCUUGUUGGUGGGGUAACGCCUACCAAGGCGACGACGGGUAGCCGGCCUGAGAGGGCGACCGGCCACACUGGGACUGAGACACGGCCCAGACUCCUACGGGAGGCAGCAGUGGGGAAUAUUGCGCAAUGGGCGAAAGCCUGACGCAGCGACGCCGCGUGGGGGAUGAAGGCCUUCGGGUUGUAAACCCCUUUCAGCAGGGACGAAGCGAAAGUGACGGUACCUGCAGAAGAAGCGCCGGCUAACUACGUGCCAGCAGCCGC
Molecule: ribosomal RNA, 473 nt
Filed under: uncultured bacterium
Lineage: Bacteria
Description: SSU rRNA
Rfam family: Bacterial small subunit ribosomal RNA
Source: RNAcentral